GAUGAACGCUGGCGGCGUGCCUAAUACAUGCAAGUCGAGCGAACAGACGAGGAGCUUGCUCCUCUGACGUUAGCGGCGGACGGGUGAGUAACACGUGGAUAACCUACCUAUAAGACUGGGAUAACUUCGGGAAACCGGAGCUAAUACCGGAUAAUAUAUUGAACCGCAUGGUUCAAUAGUGAAAGACGGUUUUGCUGUCACUUAUAGAUGGAUCCGCGCCGCAUUAGCUAGUUGGUAAGGUAACGGCUUACCAAGGCAACGAUGCGUAGCCGACCUGAGAGGGCGAUCGGCCACACUGGAACUGAGACACGGUCCAGACUCCUACGGGAGGCAGCAGUAGGGAAUCUUCCGCAAUGGGCGAAAGCCUGACGGAGCAACGCCGCGUGAGUGAUGAAGGUCUUCGGAUCGUAAAACUCUGUUAUUAGGGAAGAACAAAUGUGUAAGUAACUAUGCACGUCUUGACGGUACCUAAGCAGAAAGCCACGGCUAACUACGU
Molecule: ribosomal RNA, 496 nt
Filed under: uncultured bacterium
Lineage: Bacteria
Description: partial 16S ribosomal RNA
Rfam family: Bacterial small subunit ribosomal RNA
Source: RNAcentral